RNAcentral lists this ribosomal RNA (468 nucleotides) under uncultured bacterium. Its description in RNAcentral is "partial 16S ribosomal RNA". It matches the Rfam family "Bacterial small subunit ribosomal RNA", at positions 28 to 507 of the family's 1533-position model. The record is from RNAcentral.
GACGAACGCUGGCGGCGUGCUUAACACAUGCAAGUCGAACGGAAAGGCCCUGCUUUUGUGGGGUGCUCGAGUGGCGAACGGGCGAGUAACACGUGAGUAACCUGCCCUUGACUUUGGGAUAACUUCAGGAAACUGGGGCUAAUACCGGAUAGGAGCUCCUGCUGCAUGGUGGGGGUUGGAAAGUUUCGGCGGUUGGGGAUGGACUCGCGGCUUAUCAGCUUGUUGGUGGGGUAGUGGCUUACCAAGGCUUUGACGGGUAGCCGGCCUGAGAGGGUGACCGGCCACAGUGGGACUGAGAUACGGGCCAGAGUCAUACGGGGGGAAGCAGUGGGGAAUAGUGCACAAUGGGCGGAAGCCUGAUGCAGGAACGCCGCGUGCGGGAUGACGGCCUUCGGGUUGUAACCCGCUUUAGCCUGUGACGAAGCGUGAGUGACGGUAAUGGGUAAAGAAGCAACGGCUAACUACGUG